AUACCUUUUAAUUCGGUCCUGUGAGGCCGAAAAGGGUUGGUUUUAUCAGUUUUUGGAAUUUAUAAAGAUAAUAAAACAGCCCGGGUAUCAUAACCUGGGCUGUAUUUUUAU
Regulatory RNA element from [Clostridium] cellulosi, 111 nucleotides. It matches the Rfam family "PyrR binding site". Rfam says of the family: This family represents the PyrR binding site and terminator structure. This RNA structure is found upstream of a variety of genes involved in pyrimidine biosynthesis and transport. Lineage: Bacteria; Bacillati; Bacillota; Clostridia; Eubacteriales; Oscillospiraceae. The record is from Rfam.